UGUGGGAGCGGGCUUGCCCGCGAUAGCGGUAUGUCUGUGACUUCAAUGGUGACUGAGUGAGCCCCAUCGCGGGCAAGCCCGCUCCCACA
RNAcentral lists this non-coding RNA (89 nucleotides) under Pseudomonas tolaasii NCPPB 2192. The record is from RNAcentral. Lineage: Bacteria; Pseudomonadati; Pseudomonadota; Gammaproteobacteria; Pseudomonadales; Pseudomonadaceae.